Molecule: long non-coding RNA, 1754 nt
Organism: Poecilia latipinna (sailfin molly)
Lineage: Eukaryota; Metazoa; Chordata; Actinopteri; Cyprinodontiformes; Poeciliidae
Exons: 3
Source: RefSeq, a predicted model, not a curated record
CAAACACACACACAAAAUUAUUUACAUCAGUUCAAUUUUUAUUCUAUGUUUUUUUUUUUUAAAGUAUUUAAGAAGGAUGUAAAAUGGAAGACCGCGUCAUUCUUUUGGUUUCUGAAAGGCUCGUGUUCCCCCUACUUAGACAACAGAAGGUAACAAUCGUAUUUUAUUCCCCGCAGUAGUGAAAGUGUGCAGCCCAGGUACAGUGAGGAGAAGUCCCAGUGUGCUCUGCUGCUCUAGUUGACUAUAUUUGGUUGGUGGGAUGAGGGCUGGAUCUCGCCGUCUGCGUGCGACAGAUGGCCUGGUGCCAAUAGGCGAAUGUGACCACAUUCAUCCAGAGACGGGCGCGUGCAACUCUCUCUGUGUGUUUGUUUGAGAGAGCGGCAUAGAGAGGGAGCGACAUAAGAACAGCUGCUUGACAGCGAUGGAGAUCUUCAGCUCAUUCUGAUGUGAGCUGCAGCGCAUCUGAAAAAAAAAAAAAACUCCAGAAGCGCCUCAUUUUUCCCCACUCACUUAAAAUGUCCCUGUGAUCUGACUGGGGGGGCAUCUAAAGGAGUUUUGUGGGCCGGGGGGCUGGGUAAGACCAAGCGUACAGUGAAAGCUGCUUAACGUCCAGCUGUUCAGCUUCCCAUCAGGACGCCAGAGGAGCGAUCGUAGAUGCAAAAUAAAGCAUGCCCGCACAAUCAAAGCAGCACAGACAUUUGACCAGGAAAAACUACAUUUCUGGUUCACUUCUUUCCCCUAAUUUAGCAUUUGGGGAACUCGUACCGUGCAUUACAGGUGAUUGUUUCUUAUUUGGUGGAACCGGUAAUCGACAUACGCUGAUUAAAUCUUUUUAUUUCACAGGAAUACUGUGAUUUAAAGAGAAGUUGUUGUAAUGUUAUGGUUGAUCACUUUACAUCAACGCCAUCAUGUCAGGAGGUCACAGUGUCGUUUAACUCUGCAGCCAGAUGAAGGUUAAUCUGCUGGACCAGAUCAGCAAGAACGACCCAGAAAAGGCUUUUAAAUGAAAUGAGCCUCAUGGUUUCAAUAAAAUACCAGUAGCUUAAAAUGACCUCAAGACGAACGCACACCCAGUAGUCUUUUCACAUUUUGUCAUGCGAAAAUAAAUUUGAUUCUAUUUCACUGGGAUUUAGGAGAUCAAACUCAAAGUAGUGCAUCUUUAUGAAGCGGCAUGAAAAUACAAGACACAUGGUUCAACGUUAAAUCUAAAAGUGUGGUAUGGAUUUGUUUUAAUCCAUACCACUCGUCCACUUUUAUGGAAGAGUGGAAAAGGGGAUGCCAAAUAAAAACAAUACAAGAAACAAAAGGAAGUCCCAUUUAAAGUUAGAUUUAAAAAAAAAAAAAAAAAAAGGUAGUAGACAAGAAUGACGUGCAGAAGGAUGUACUCUGCUUAGACGAAAUCUAAAUUCAGCAAUACUGGAAGCCUAUUACAGGUAGGAAAAGAUUUGAAACAGCGACCAAAGUUUCCAGCAGUCAGACAUUUUCCAGAAGGUCUGCAGCUACACAGGUGGACUUUGCUAAUUCUGUGAUUUCUGAAGAAGACUGGUUGAACAAGAUUCAAUUAAAGGGUGUGAGUACUUUUCAAAUAAAAAGGAAAACUAAAACAAAAAGUAAAACAAAAAAAAAAAAAUUAAAUAUUGAAUUUUUCUUCCAUCAAAGUUUGAUGCUGUAAAACGAUAACAUAUGGAAAAAGUUCAAUGGGAAUACAAUAUGAUCCUCAAUAAAAGUUUGUUGAAAUGAUGCUGUGGAGGACA